RNAcentral lists this ribosomal RNA (482 nucleotides) under uncultured bacterium. RNAcentral describes it as "partial 16S ribosomal RNA". It matches the Rfam family "Bacterial small subunit ribosomal RNA", at positions 30 to 507 of the family's 1533-position model. The record is from RNAcentral.
AUUGAACGCUGGCGGCAUGCUUUACACAUGCAAGUCGAACGGUAACAGCACUUCGGUGGCUGACGAGUGGCGAACGGGUGCGUAAUACAUCGGAACGUGCCUAGUAGUGGGGGAUAACUACUCGAAAGAGUAGCUAAUACCGCAUGAGAUCUAAGGAUGAAAGCAGGGGACCUUCGGGCCUUGCGCUACUAGAGCGGCUGAUGGCAGAUUAGGUAGUUGGUGGGGUAAAAGCUUACCAAGCCGACGAUCUAUAGCUGGUCUGAGAGGACGACCCGCCACACUGGGACUGAGACACGGCCCAGACUCCUACGGGAGGCAGCAGUAGGGAAUUUUGGACAAUGGGCGCAAGCCUGAUCCAGCAAUGCCGCGUGCAUGAUGAAGGCCUUCGGGUUGUAAACUGCUUUUGUACGGAACGAAAAGCCCUCUUCUAAUACAGGAGGGUCAUGACGGUACCGUAAGAAUAAGCACCGGCUAACUACGUG